Molecule: ribosomal RNA, 253 nt
Filed under: uncultured bacterium
Lineage: Bacteria
Description: partial 16S ribosomal RNA
Rfam family: Bacterial small subunit ribosomal RNA
Source: RNAcentral
UACGAAGGGGGCUAGCGUUGUUCGGAAUCACUGGGCGUAAAGCGCACGUAGGCGGACUUUUAAGUCAGGGGUGAAAUCCUGGAGCUCAACUCCAGAACUGCCUUUGAUACUGGGAGUCUCGAGUUCGGAAGAGGUUGGUGGAACUGCGAGUGUAGAGGUGAAAUUCGUAGAUAUUCGCAAGAACACCAGUGGCGAAGGCGGCUCACUGGCCCGGUACUGACGCUGAGGUGCGAAAGCGUGGGGAGCAAACGGG